GGGCCUGUAGCUCAGUUGGUUAGAGCGCACGCCUGAUAAGCGUGAGGUCAGAAGUUCAAGUCUUCUCAGGCCCACCA
RNAcentral lists this transfer RNA (77 nucleotides) under Acidobacteriota bacterium. RNAcentral's name for it is "Acidobacteria bacterium (activated sludge metagenome) tRNA-Ile". It matches the Rfam family "tRNA". From Rfam's summary of the family: Transfer RNA (tRNA) molecules are approximately 80 nucleotides in length. The record is from RNAcentral. Lineage: Bacteria; Pseudomonadati; Acidobacteriota.